Molecule: ribosomal RNA, 474 nt
Filed under: uncultured bacterium
Lineage: Bacteria
Description: bacterial SSU rRNA
Rfam family: Bacterial small subunit ribosomal RNA
Source: RNAcentral
ACUCCUACGGGAGGCAGCAGUAGGGAAUUUUCCGCAAUGGACGAAAGUCUGACGGAGCAAUGCCGCGUGAGUGAUGAAGGUUUUCGAAUCGUAAAGCUCUGUUGUAAGGGAAGAAUAGCAGUAGUAGGAAAUGACUACUGUGUGACGGUACCUUACCAGAAAGCCACGGCUAACUACGUGCCAGCAGCCGCGGUAAUACGUAGGUGGCAAGCGUUAUCCGGAAUUACUGGGCGUAAAGCGUGCGUAGUCGGUAUUGAGAGUCACGGGUGAAAUCCCAGGGCUUAACCCUGGAACUGCCUGUGAGACCUCAGUACUAGAGUGUGAGAGGGGAUAGUGGAAUACCCAGUGUAGCGGUGAAAUGCGUAGAGAUUGGGUGGAACACCGGUGGCGAAGGCGGCUAUCUGGCUCACAACUGACGAUCAGGCACGAAAGCGUGGGGAGCAAACAGGAUUAGAUACCCUGGUAGGCUCUGCU